UAUAGGCUUUACAAAAUCUGCCA
Molecule: non-coding RNA, 23 nt
Filed under: Arabidopsis thaliana (thale cress)
Lineage: Eukaryota; Viridiplantae; Streptophyta; Magnoliopsida; Brassicales; Brassicaceae
Source: RNAcentral